RNAcentral lists this ribosomal RNA (492 nucleotides) under uncultured bacterium. Its description in RNAcentral is "bacterial SSU rRNA". It matches the Rfam family "Bacterial small subunit ribosomal RNA", at positions 29 to 514 of the family's 1533-position model. The record is from RNAcentral.
AACGAACGCUGGCGGCGCGCCUAAUACAUGCAAGUCGAGCGAGAAAGUGUAGCAAUACACUUGUAAAGCGGCGAACGGGUGAGGAAUACAUGGGUAAUCUACCAUCGAGUGGGGAAUAACCAGCCGAAAGGUUGGCUAAUACCGCGUACGCUUCCGAGUCUUCGGGCUUGGAAGGAAAGCCGCACUGUGAGUGCGGCGCUCUUUGAUGAGCUCAUGUCCUAUCAGCUUGUUGGUAGGGUAACGGCCUACCAAGGCUUUGACGGGUAGCUGGUCUGAGAGGACGAUCAGCCACACUGGCACUGCGACACGGGCCAGACUCCUACGGGAGGCAGCAGUAAGGAAUAUUGCGCAAUGGGCGAAAGCCUGACGCAGCGACGCCGCGUGGGGGAUGAAGGUCUUCGGAUUGUAAACCCCUUUCGGGAGGGAAGAUGGAGCGAGCAAUCGUUCGGACGGUACCUCCAGAAGCAGCCACGGCCAACUUCGUGCCAGCAG